Molecule: ribosomal RNA, 282 nt
Filed under: Triticum aestivum (bread wheat)
Lineage: Eukaryota; Viridiplantae; Streptophyta; Magnoliopsida; Poales; Poaceae
Description: partial small subunit ribosomal RNA
Source: RNAcentral
AUGCCGGAGGAGGCAAAGGCCGAUGCGCUGCUGGUACAGAAGGUGGGCGUGCUGCCCUCCGGGUUCCAUGACGCCUUCGUGCUCCGCUACAUCCGCGUCCACGCGUCUGGCCCAGCCGCCUCCUCUGCCACUUCACCGUCACCACCCGCCUCCUCUCGGAAUUGGAUGCGAAAUAAUACAUGUGGUGGUUCAUCAGCAUCACUUCUCAAGGUUAGUCAUAUGAACGGAUGGUUCACAAUAAUAGGAGCAUCACAAGACAUUGUAGUCAUUGGUGAAGAAUGA